CUCGUUCGCCAGUAUCAAAUUCACAACGACUCUCGGCAACGGAUAUCUCGGCUCUCGCAUCGAUGAAGAACGUAGCGAAAUGCGAUACUUGGUGUGAAUUGCAGAAUCCCGUGAACCAUCGAGUCUUUGAACGCAAGUUGCGCCCGAAGCCGUCAGGUUGA
RNAcentral lists this ribosomal RNA (161 nucleotides) under Pouzolzia sanguinea var. elegans. RNAcentral describes it as "5.8S ribosomal RNA". The stretch from base 28 to 161 matches the Rfam family "5.8S ribosomal RNA", at positions 1 to 132 of the family's 154-position model. From Rfam's summary of the family: 5.8S ribosomal RNA (5.8S rRNA) is a component of the large subunit of the eukaryotic ribosome. It is transcribed by RNA polymerase I as part of the 45S precursor that also contains 18S and 28S rRNA. Lineage: Eukaryota; Viridiplantae; Streptophyta; Magnoliopsida; Rosales; Urticaceae. The record is from RNAcentral.